RNAcentral lists this ribosomal RNA (514 nucleotides) under uncultured bacterium. Its description in RNAcentral is "bacterial SSU rRNA". It matches the Rfam family "Bacterial small subunit ribosomal RNA", at positions 8 to 526 of the family's 1533-position model. The record is from RNAcentral.
AGAGUUUGAUCCUGGCUCAGAAUGAACGUUGGCGGCGUGGAUUAGGCAUGCAAGUCGAACGAGAACCCCGCAAGGGGGGAAAGUGGCAAACGGGGUAGUAAGGCGUAGGCGAUAUGCCCUCGGGUCCAGGAUAGCUAUGGGAAACCGUAGGUAAUACUGGAUGAUCCUGACGGAGUUGAAUAUCUGUCAGGCAAAGGUGAGAUUCCGCCGGAGGAGCAGCUUGCGUGGUAUUAGCUAGUUGGUGAGGUAAUGGCUCACCAAGGCGAUGAUGCCUAGGGGGUGUGAGAGCAUGACCCCCACCACUGGGACUGAGAUACUGCCCAGACACCUACGGGUGGCUGCAGUCGAGGAUCUUCGGCAAUGGGCGCAAGCCUGACGCAGCGACGCCGCGUGCGGGAGGACGGCCUUCGGGUCGUAAACCGCUGUUGCCCGGGACGAAUGCGUCUUUCGAGACGAGUGACGGUACCGGGUGAGGAAGCACCGGCUAACUCCGUGCCAGCAGCCGCGGUAAUAC